CUUGAAGGAGCAUCACACAAUUAGUAAUAUUCCAAAGUUUCGUUGCAAAAUGUUGUAAAAUGCGGAAAAUAUAGCCUUGCGAAAUUUGCAAUUUUCAGUCAUUUUAGAUUACAAACGGGAAAUUGACAGCCCCAAACCCUUCGAGGCUGUCAAUUUCCGGUUUGUAAUCUAAAAUGACUGAAAAUUGCAAAUUUCGCAAGGCUAUAUUUUCCGCAUUUUACAACAUUUUGCAGCGAAACUUUGGAAUAUUACUAAUUUUGUGAUGCUCCUUCAAGCUGUAAUGAAAUUUUUGUUGAGAUCAAAAUUUAGUCUAUUACGCAAAUGGUCAAUUA
Molecule: non-coding RNA, 332 nt
Organism: Paramuricea clavata
Lineage: Eukaryota; Metazoa; Cnidaria; Anthozoa; Malacalcyonacea; Plexauridae
Source: the annotation of a GenBank genome assembly